This 255-nucleotide ribosomal RNA is filed under the name Mycoplasmopsis arginini. RNAcentral describes it as "partial 16S ribosomal RNA". It matches the Rfam family "Bacterial small subunit ribosomal RNA", at positions 974 to 1233 of the family's 1533-position model. The record is from RNAcentral. Lineage: Bacteria; Bacillati; Mycoplasmatota; Mycoplasmoidales; Metamycoplasmataceae.
CCCACUCUUGACAUCCUUCGCAAUGCUAUAGAGAUAUAGCGGAGGUUAACGGAGUGACAGAUGGUGCAUGGUUGUCGUCAGCUCGUGUCGUGAGAUGUUUGGUCAAGUCCUGCAACGAGCGCAACCCCUAUCUUUAGUUACUAACGAGUCAUGUCGAGGACUCUAGAGAUACUGCCUGGGUAACUGGGAGGAAGGUGGGGAUGACGUCAAAUCAUCAUGCCUCUUACGAGUGGGGCAACACACGUGCUACAAUGG